Molecule: ribosomal RNA, 253 nt
Filed under: uncultured bacterium
Lineage: Bacteria
Description: partial 16S ribosomal RNA
Rfam family: Bacterial small subunit ribosomal RNA
Source: RNAcentral
UACAGAGGGUGCAAGCGUUGUUCGGAAUUAUUGGGCGUAAAGGGUGCGUAGGCGGUUCCGCAAGUCCUGUGUGAAAUCUUCGGGCUCAACUCGAAGUCUGCACGGGAAACUGCGGGGCUUGAGUGUGGGAGAGGUGAGUGGAAUUCCUGGUGUAGCGGUGGAAUGCGCAGAUAUCAGGAGGAACACCGGUGGCGAAGGCGGGUCUCUGGGCCGUUACUGACGCUGAGGAGCGAAAGCAUGGGGAGCGAACAGG